UCCUGGGUGGCAUAGAUGGUUAAGCUCUCAACUACUAGUUGAAAGGUUGGUGGUUCGAACCCACCCAGAGGUG
RNAcentral lists this transfer RNA (73 nucleotides) under Loxodonta africana (African savanna elephant). It matches the Rfam family "tRNA". From Rfam's summary of the family: Transfer RNA (tRNA) molecules are approximately 80 nucleotides in length. Their secondary structure includes four short double-helical elements and three loops (D, anti-codon, and T loops). The record is from Rfam by way of RNAcentral. Lineage: Eukaryota; Metazoa; Chordata; Mammalia; Proboscidea; Elephantidae.